GAAAUGUUCUUCUUCAAACGACGCUUGUGG
Molecule: small RNA, 30 nt
Filed under: Bombyx mori (domestic silkworm)
Lineage: Eukaryota; Metazoa; Arthropoda; Insecta; Lepidoptera; Bombycidae
Description: ovarian small RNA-15109
Source: RNAcentral